GAUGAAGAACGUAGCUAAAUGCGAUAAGUAAUGUGAAUUGCAGAAUUCAGUGAAUCAUCGAAUCUUUGAACGCACAUUGCGCCCCCUGGUAUUCCGGGGGGCAUGCCUGUUCGAGCGUCAUUACAACCCUCAAGCUCUGCUUGGUAUUGGGCCCCGCCAGUUCUGGCGGGCCCUAAAGUCAGUGGCGGUGCCUUCCGGCUCCGAGCGUAGUAAUUCUUCUCGCUCUGGAGACCCGGUUGUGUGCUUGCCAACAACCCCCAAUUUUUUAAGGUUGACCUCGGAUCAGGUAGGGAUACCCGCUGAACUUAAGCAUAUCAAUAAGCGGAGGA
This 329-nucleotide unclassified non-coding RNA is filed under the name soil metagenome. Its description in RNAcentral is "partial contains 5.8S ribosomal RNA, internal transcribed spacer 2, and large subunit ribosomal RNA". The stretch from base 1 to 120 matches the Rfam family "5.8S ribosomal RNA", at positions 35 to 154 of the family's 154-position model. The record is from RNAcentral.